Molecule: ribosomal RNA, 482 nt
Filed under: Corynebacterium matruchotii
Lineage: Bacteria; Bacillati; Actinomycetota; Actinomycetes; Mycobacteriales; Corynebacteriaceae
Description: bacterial SSU rRNA
Rfam family: Bacterial small subunit ribosomal RNA
Source: RNAcentral
GACGAACGCUGGCGGCGUGCUUAACACAUGCAAGUCGAACGGAAAAGGCCCGCAUCAUUUUUUUUGGUGGGGGUGCUCGAGUGGCGAACGGGUGAGUAACACGUGGGUGAUCUGCCCUGUACUUCGGGAUAAGCUUGGGAAACUGGGUCUAAUACCGGAUAGGACCAUGGUUUAGUGUCUCACGGUGGAAAGAUUAUUGUUUUGGUGCAGGAUGAGCUCGCGGCCUAUCAGCUUGUUGGUGGGGUAAUGGCCUACCAAGGCGUCGACGGGUAGCCGGCCUGAGAGGGUGGACGGCCACACUGGGACUGAGAUACGGCCCAGACUCCUACGGGAGGCAGCAGUGGGGAAUAUUGCACAAUGGGCGCAAGCCUGAUGCAGCGACGCCGCGUGGGGGAUGACGGCCUUCGGGUUGUAAACUCCUUUCGUUAGGGACGAAGCCACACUUUUUUUGGGUGUGGUGACGUACCUUUGUAAGAACACCC